Molecule: ribosomal RNA, 497 nt
Filed under: uncultured bacterium
Lineage: Bacteria
Description: partial 16S ribosomal RNA
Rfam family: Bacterial small subunit ribosomal RNA
Source: RNAcentral
GACGAACGCUGGCGGCGUGCCUAAUACAUGCAAGUUGAGCGAUGAAGAUUGGUGCUUGCACCAAUUUGAAGAGCAGCGAACGGGUGAGUAACGCGUGGGGAAUCUGCCUUUGAGCGGGGGACAACAUUUGGAAACGAAUGCUAAUACCGCAUAACAACUUUAAACAUAAGUUUUAAGUUUGAAAGAUGCAAUUGCAUCACUCAAAGAUGAUCCCGCGUUGUAUUAGCUAGUUGGUGAGGUAAAGGCUCACCAAGGCGAUGAUACAUAGCCGACCUGAGAGGGUGAUCGGCCACAUUGGGACUGAGACACGGCCCAAACUCCUACGGGAGGCAGCAGUAGGGAAUCUUCGGCAAUGGACGAAAGUCUGACCGAGCGACGCCGCGUGAGUGAAGAAGGUUGUCGGAUCGUAAAACUCUGUUGGUAGAGAAGAACGUUGGUGAGAGUGGAAAGCUCAUCAAGUGACGGUAACUACCCAGAAAGGGACGGCUAACUACGUG